This is a long non-coding RNA of Nelumbo nucifera (sacred lotus), 676 nucleotides long. RefSeq lists it as uncharacterized. The record is from RefSeq and is a predicted model, not a curated record. Lineage: Eukaryota; Viridiplantae; Streptophyta; Magnoliopsida; Proteales; Nelumbonaceae.
UUUACGAGAAACGGAUGGGAUGGGAAAAUUUUGUCAAAAGCCCUCUCACAAACAUUGUCGCCUCCCUUUUUUAUACCAUUUUUCUCCUGUUCCAUUUGAUGGGUGGCUGUUGAAAUCUCACCGCUGGCUCCAUCCAUCCUUGGUCAUCUAAAUCUCACUGUCGGCAUUCUCGGCGAAGGUAAUCACAAACAACAAAGCAUUAGAUUUCAACUUCAGGUAUUAAUGGCCAAAUAUUAUGUUGUCUUCAAAGGUUGUUGCCCUGGAGUGUACUUUAAAUGGGCAGAGUGCACCGCACAGGUACACCGAUUUAGCAAAGCAAUUUAUUGCUCAUACACUACAUAUGAAGAAGCUAUACACCAAUUCUGUAUGUAUCAAAGCAAAGUUUCCACACCAAAUAGUCUACAUCAACUUAAAUCCAAGGAAGGAUGCUCUUCCACACAAGAUAAUGCUUCAAACAACAAAUCAAUGGAAAAAACUAGGCUAGAAUGGUUCAUUAUUAGUUUUCUUGCGAUCAGCUUAGUAGCUAUGAUUAUCUUAUAUUAUAUGAAAUGAGAACCAAUAUGUAAUGCAAGCAAGUAUUGUACACAAUAUGGAACAUGAUAGUUAUCAUUUUGUCAAAUGUGAUUGCAAUAUCUUAUAUGCACCUCAUUGUUGUCACAUGGCAAAUUUAAUCGAC